UGUUCCACGCGCAGAGACUGACCAACACCAACCUUCUGUUCGUGGUGGCGGAGAAGCCGCUGUGCAGCCAGUGCGAGGUCGGCCGGCUGCUACAAAAGGAGACACACUCGGACGGCCCGGAGCAGUGUGAGCUGGUGCAGAGACCGCGAUACCGAAGAGGCCCGCACAUCUGUUUUGACUACAAUGCGACGGAAGAUACCUCAGACUGUGGCCGCGGAGCCUCCUUCCCUCCGUCGCUGGGCGUCUUGGUUUCCCUGCAGCUGUUGCUCCUCCUAGGCCUGCCACCUCGGCCGCAGCCUCAAAUCCAUUCCUUCGCUGCCUCUCGCCGCCUCUGAACUACCCACACACACACAUCAUAGCCCCCACCCCCACCCCGCCUUGGCCUCCUAGCCUUUUCGCUCACCCUCCCAUGCCACAUUCCCCAAUCUAGAUCCUUGGCCAGUCUCUCCUGAAGGAACUGGGCCCCUUCCCCGGGGCCUGUGCCUUGGGGCAGGGGAGCCCCAAAGUAAGGUGCCAUGGUGUUUGGCACUCAAGAUUUAUCUCACCCUUGAACUGUCCAAGUGCCCACAGUCCCUGGACUCACCCCUGUGGGUUGGGACAGGAGGCCACUAGUACCGAUGCCAAACCAGGCCUUCACCAACCCACCUGCCUGGAGAUUUUCUCUAUGUAGGCAACCCUGCCACUGCUGGGCGCCU
RNAcentral lists this long non-coding RNA (695 nucleotides) under Rattus norvegicus (Norway rat). RNAcentral describes it as "long non-coding RNA NONRATT028019". Lineage: Eukaryota; Metazoa; Chordata; Mammalia; Rodentia; Muridae. The record is from RNAcentral.